ACCACAUCCGCGUGGUGCAGCCGAUAGGUGACGGACGCACGCUCUACAUUUGCGGGACCAACGCCAGGGCGCCCACGGAUUGGCAAGUCAUGGUGUGUGAUUGGGCGCUAUCUCUUCUUUAUUUAAUUGCAGUUUAUUGGUUGUCUUUCUUUCGCCCCCUCUAUUCUCAGUCGAAGUUUUUCUCCUCUGGUAAAAAGAAAGAAGCAAAUAGCAAAUACGCCUGAUGCUGUCUCGGCUAUCGAAGGUGGCAGCGGCUCAAAUCUGUACGGUGUACAGACUUAAGUGGCAGCACUAGACUUUUCUAUGAUAUUGUUACGGAGCAGUGGGGCAUACAUAGUGCGACUAUGAACAAAGACAACGAUUUGUCGAGAAGAAAGGGUGGCUGGUUUGGGCAGCCAUCUUGCGCAUGCAGUGUUGCUGCAACUUGUAUAUACAUGUAAAUACACCUACGCGUCACUAAUUCUGCCCCGUAGCAUUUUGGUGGAAGUGCGAGGUAGAAUUAGUGAAGCGUAAGUGUAUUCACUAAUUCUGCCCCGUAGCAAUAUGAACGUUACUAUACAAGGUCGUUUGAGUGUGAGCAAAAAAAAAAAAAGGAAAAAGACAAAGAAAUAUAAAACAUCAAAAUCUGAACAAUGACAACAAGCAGCACUCUCGCAACUAACACAUCGAAAACAAAACGUUUCAUAGACUCCUGGGGGCAGCCAGAAUGAGGUAUACAACGUCUACAGUUAUGCGAGAAGCCUUCACAACGUCUUCGCACUAAGUUUACAAAACUCAUAUGCGGAGAAGUGUAGGAGAAAGAUUUGCUGAGCAUAUAAAAACUCUCCGAGAUCGGGCUUUGACAACUAGAUAUAUGAACGCCCUUCUCGCACGCUGCGCCGUGCAGCCACUCGGCUGCAUCUUUUGAACAUAAUGUCUAUUGACGUCUUUGCUCGCUGGUAUACAGCUCAACAUUAUCCAAAGCGCACGGUCGUAAUUGGUGCAGCGUUUACCAAAUGUAAGUUGGCUUAUCAUUGCUGUCGUGACACUGUCGGUGAUGUGUAUGCCAGCCGCCGUUCAGAUGGCAUGAGUGAGCCGUUUCAAUUGCACAGUUGCUAGCAAAGAAAAGAAAGAAGAAAGAUGAAAAAAAGAAGAGAAGUUAAGAAGCGUAGGCGCAACAGAUGAAGACAAGAUGGGCCCUCAUUUGGCAAGUUUUCUCUUGUGUGACAUGAUCACCUUUACAUUGUUACGCGCAGGCCAAAGAUUUGACGCUGGUUCCAGUGGUUCAGCAGAAGGCUAUCUUUCAAAGCAACGAGACUGGAAAGGCGGAAGGACGCUGCUCCUACUUCGUCUCCCAGGAAACUUCGUCGCUCUGGCUUGACGACGCUCCCGAACCUGGCGCUUCGAGCGUAGUGAGCACAUGGCCGCUGUCUGGCAACAAGCACGCCUUCUACCGCGCGCCGAUCGCAAAGGAGAAAUCAGAUUUGCCGCGCUACCCGCACCUGCUGACCGACACCACCAGCACCGCCGUUCUUAUUGACCCGCACUCGGUGGGUGCCGUCGCGUGGGGCAGGUACGCCUAUUUCGUGUUCCGGGAGACUGCCCUCGAGACCAAGGUGUGCGGUCAACGGGUCGCCUCCACUGUGGGUC
Molecule: long non-coding RNA, 1629 nt
Organism: Dermacentor andersoni
Lineage: Eukaryota; Metazoa; Arthropoda; Arachnida; Ixodida; Ixodidae
Source: RefSeq, a predicted model, not a curated record